GCGGUCGUGGCGGAAAUGGUAGACGCGCAGCGUUGAGGUCGCUGUGGGGGAAACCUCGUGGAAGUUCGAUUCUUCUCGACCGCACCA
This 87-nucleotide transfer RNA is filed under the name Candidatus Finniella inopinata. RNAcentral's name for it is "tRNA-Leu". It matches the Rfam family "tRNA". Rfam says of the family: Transfer RNA (tRNA) molecules are approximately 80 nucleotides in length. Their secondary structure includes four short double-helical elements and three loops (D, anti-codon, and T loops). Further hydrogen bonds mediate the characteristic L-shaped molecular structure. tRNAs have two regions of fundamental functional importance: the anti-codon, which is responsible for specific mRNA codon recognition, and the 3' end, to which the tRNAs corresponding amino acid is attached (by aminoacyl-tRNA synthetases). tRNAs cope with the degeneracy of the genetic code in two manners: having more than one tRNA (with a specific anti-codon) for a particular amino acid; and 'wobble' base-pairing, i.e. permitting non-standard base-pairing at the 3rd anti-codon position. The record is from RNAcentral. Lineage: Bacteria; Pseudomonadati; Pseudomonadota; Alphaproteobacteria; Holosporales; Candidatus Paracaedibacteraceae.